Labrus bergylta (ballan wrasse) is the source of this 612-nucleotide non-coding RNA. Lineage: Eukaryota; Metazoa; Chordata; Actinopteri; Labriformes; Labridae. The record is from RefSeq and is a predicted model, not a curated record.
AUUCCACAGAUUUCACACUUGCAGAAAACUCCUGAAAGUGUGGAGAGAUCAGUCGGUGUCUGGGUAGUCUGAUGCCAACUCAUGGAAAAUAAAUGAGAAAACAAAAAGAUUGUGACAUCAGUCGACUUUGGAAAGGCCCUCAUAUGAUGAAAUGAAAAGCAAAAGAAAGCGUCAGGAUUCAACAGUGGGACCUGCAUUAUCCAUCCAUCUAUUAUCUGUACCGCAGCCCAGCUGUGAUUGACUGGAGACCAUUACAGGGUGUACCCCGCCUCCCCGCCUCUCGCCCAAUGACAGCUGUUAUCUAUUGAUAAUAGAGACUGACAACCAGUCACACUCACAUCCACACCUACGGCCAUUCAGUCAACAAUUAACCUAACGAGCAUGUCUUUGGACUGUGGGAGGAAGGUUGCAUGGGACUGGAGUCGAUCCAGCUGCAAUUAGGCGAGAGGCGAGGUAAACCCUGGGCUGGUCGACAGUCAAUAACAGCGCUGACAGAUAGAGAGAGACAACCAGCACACCAGGAUAUCAGUCAACAAUUAACGAGCAUGUCUUUGGACUGUGGGAGGAAGGGAGUAGCAGAGAGAGCACGGGGAGACCAUGCAAACUCCACAC